RNAcentral lists this non-coding RNA (184 nucleotides) under Pseudorhodoferax sp. Leaf274. Its description in RNAcentral is "FMN riboswitch aptamer (RFN element)". It matches the Rfam family "FMN riboswitch aptamer (RFN element)". Rfam says of the family: The RFN element is a highly conserved domain that is found frequently in the 5'-untranslated regions of prokaryotic mRNAs that encode for flavin mononucleotide (FMN) biosynthesis and transport proteins. This element is a metabolite-dependent riboswitch that directly binds FMN in the absence of proteins. In Bacillus subtilis, the riboswitch most likely controls gene expression by causing premature transcription termination within the 5' untranslated region of the ribDEAHT operon and precluding access to the ribosome-binding site of ypaA mRNA. The record is from Rfam by way of RNAcentral. RNAcentral also lists the same sequence under 1 other name. Lineage: Bacteria; Pseudomonadati; Pseudomonadota; Betaproteobacteria; Burkholderiales; Comamonadaceae.
AAGCGUUCUCAGGGCGGGGUGCAAUUCCCCACCGGCGGUGAUGGCGGGGCAACCCGCACAAGCCCGCGAGCGCCUUGCACGCCACCGUGCAAGGGUCAGCAGAUCCGGUGCGAUCCCGGAGCCGACGGUUGGAACGUGUUCGGUCUCGAACACGCUCCUAAAGUCCGGAUGAAAGAGAGCGCGA